UACGAAGGGGGCUAGCGUUGCUCGGAAUCACUGGGCGUAAAGCGCACGUAGGCGGACUCUUAAGUCGGUGGUGAGAUCCUGGAGCUCAACUCCAGAACUGCCUUCGAUACUGGGAGUCUCGAGUCCGGGAGAGGUGAGUGGAACUGCGAGUGUAGAGGUGAAAUUCGUAGAUAUUCGCAAGAACACCAGUGGCGAAGGCGGCUCACUGGCCCGGUACUGACGCUGAGGUGCGAAAGCGUGGGGAGCAAACAGG
This 253-nucleotide ribosomal RNA is filed under the name uncultured bacterium. RNAcentral's name for it is "partial 16S ribosomal RNA". It matches the Rfam family "Bacterial small subunit ribosomal RNA", at positions 524 to 776 of the family's 1533-position model. The record is from RNAcentral.